This 505-nucleotide ribosomal RNA is filed under the name uncultured bacterium. RNAcentral's name for it is "bacterial SSU rRNA". It matches the Rfam family "Bacterial small subunit ribosomal RNA", at positions 14 to 518 of the family's 1533-position model. The record is from RNAcentral.
GUAUCCUGGCUCAGGAUGAACGCUGGCGGCGUGCUUAACACAUGCAAGUCGAACGAAGCACUUUCUACGAUCCCUUCGGGGUGACGAGUUAGUGACUGAGUGGCGGACGGGUGAGUAACGCGUGGGUAACCUGCCUUAUACAGGGGGAUAACAGUUGGAAACGGCUGCUAAUACCGCAUAAGCGCACAGUACCGCAUGGUACAGUGUGAAAAACUCCGGUGGUAUAAGAUGGACCCGCGUCUGAUUAGCUAGUUGGUGAGGUAACGGCCCACCAAGGCGACGAUCAGUAGCCGAUCUGAGAGGAUGAACGGCCACAUUGGGACUGAGACACGGCCCAGACUCCUACGGGAGGCAGCAGUGGGGAAUAUUGCACAAUGGGCGAAAGCCUGAUGCAGCCGACGCCGCGUGAGUGAUGAAGUAUUUCGGUAUGUAAAGCUCUAUCAGCAGGGAAGAUAAUGACGGUACCUGACUAAGAAGCACCGGCUAAAUACGUGCCAGCCGCCGC